UUGAACGCUGGCGGCAGGCCUCACACAUGCAAGUCGAGCGGAUGAAGGGAGCUUGCUCCUGGAUUCAGCGGCGGACGGGUGAGUAAUGCCUAGGAAUCUGCCUGGUAGUGGGGGAUAACGUCCGGAAACGGGCGCUAAUACCGCAUACGUCCUGAGGGAGAAAGUGGGGGAUCUUCGGACCUCACGCUAUCAGAUGAGCCUAGGUCGGAUUAGCUAGUUGGUGGGGUAAAGGCCUACCAAGGCGACGAUCCGUAACUGGUCUGAGAGGAUGAUCAGUCACACUGGAACUGAGACACGGUCCAGACUCCUACGGGAGGCAGCAGUGGGGAAUAUUGGACAAUGGGCGAAAGCCUGAUCCAGCCAUGCCGCGUGUGUGAAGAAGGUCUUCGGAUUGUAAAGCACUUUAAGUUGGGAGGAAGGGCAGUAAGUUAAUACCUUGCUGUCUUGACGUUACCAACAGAAUAAGCACCGGCUAACUUCGUG
Molecule: ribosomal RNA, 483 nt
Filed under: uncultured bacterium
Lineage: Bacteria
Description: partial 16S ribosomal RNA
Rfam family: Bacterial small subunit ribosomal RNA
Source: RNAcentral